Molecule: non-coding RNA, 769 nt
Organism: Zea mays
Lineage: Eukaryota; Viridiplantae; Streptophyta; Magnoliopsida; Poales; Poaceae
Source: RefSeq, a predicted model, not a curated record
ACCUGUUACAGCCGACAACGCCACUGUUCGUCGCACUUUUUUUUUUGUGUGCGCCGCCCGCUAAACUGCGCUACGGCUACGGAUUUCACUAGUACCUCGUAGCCACCACGAAGGAAGUCGCCAAUCCCAAUGCCAGAAAGGAAGUCUCACGAAUUCCCUCAUGUGCCGAUGUGCGCACCGCCUCAGAAUGCUGGAACGGGUAUUCCUCUUCUCGCCGCCGUCCUCCGCUCCGGUGAGGGUCGCUACCGCUUUCCGGAUGCGCUUCCUACUCGUUACUGACAGAGGCAAUUUUGGUUCAACAUCUUCUAGAAGAGGGGAUUGACUGCACUAUCCCCAAGCAUUGAGGAAAGCAGUUUUGAGGCUUGGUGGAGUUCUUCAGCUGCUCGCCUUAAUGGAGGCAUCCAAAACGGCUUCAACUCUCUAGUGAUUUUAGGAGCUUGGUGUAUUUGGCGGCACUGUAACGAGUGUGUUUUUGAAGGUGUUCCGCCUAGUGUCGCUAGGGCCUUGUCUUUAGUUGAGGAUGAGUAUUGUUUGUGGUGUCUUGUUGGUGCUAAGGGUUUGUCUGGCUCUCAGUUUAUGGUCAUGACCUAGGCUGAGGCACGUUGUUUCUUCUCUGGAGUAGGUGUUUAAGUGUUAGCUUUUUUUAGUGUUAUGUCUUUUUCUUUUUCUGUAGGGCUUUUUGGCCCUUGUAUUGUUCUCUUAUCUUUUAAUGCAAUGAUACACAACUCUCUUGCGUGUUCAAGAAAAAAAAACCAUCGUGAUUAUAAUU